This 72-nucleotide transfer RNA is filed under the name Auricularia subglabra TFB-10046 SS5. It matches the Rfam family "tRNA". Rfam says of the family: Transfer RNA (tRNA) molecules are approximately 80 nucleotides in length. Their secondary structure includes four short double-helical elements and three loops (D, anti-codon, and T loops). Further hydrogen bonds mediate the characteristic L-shaped molecular structure. tRNAs have two regions of fundamental functional importance: the anti-codon, which is responsible for specific mRNA codon recognition, and the 3' end, to which the tRNAs corresponding amino acid is attached (by aminoacyl-tRNA synthetases). tRNAs cope with the degeneracy of the genetic code in two manners: having more than one tRNA (with a specific anti-codon) for a particular amino acid; and 'wobble' base-pairing, i.e. permitting non-standard base-pairing at the 3rd anti-codon position. Lineage: Eukaryota; Fungi; Basidiomycota; Agaricomycetes; Auriculariales; Auriculariaceae. The record is from Rfam by way of RNAcentral.
ACGUCCUUGGUGAAGUGGUUAUCAUGCUUGCCUUCCAAGCAAGCGGGCCGGGUUCGAUUCCCGGAGGGCGUA